UGGAAGGGGGUUUUGUGUGUAAAUAAUUUACUAGUAUGACCUAAAUGCUCCUGGGCCUUUGUUUAUUUUUAUGAAGUCAGUAAAGAACCACGCGGAUUCUGAGACUGGAAUUUGGGGACCAGAGGCUGAGAGGGUGACACAGAGCAAAGGCAUCUGACCCCUCCAUGCGGGAAGGCAGCUGGGCUGGGAGCGGAAGGCUGCCUUCCAAGUUCCCAACUUUUUCUGCAUACAGAAAGCUUUGUGGAGAGAUGCGAGAGGGAGAAAUGCCACAUAUCUACAGGUGGCUGCCCCAGAGAGGUCACUGACGACAUUUUGGAACCCGACCGUCAGACAUUUGGGAUUAGCUUUCCUGGAAAGGAGAGGACAUUGGCCCUCUAGUGCCACUUGGGAAAUGCCAAGAUCCCAGCCCACAGCUCUGCAGGGGAGGUGUUACUUGGCAACUCUCCUGCGUGUGGCCAGUCCAGCUGGAUAAUAGGCCCAGCAGUAACUCCUAGCAGCAGGAAACUCUCCCCUUCGAUGGCUACCUGAUGUCCUGUGUGAAAUGAGAGUUCAGCCAACGGUACAGGCAAUUCUUAGUGGACAAGUAUCCACAGAACAUCAUUUCUACAGCAACUGGUGUCUUCAUGUCUGCCAUGACUAUUCUCCCUGCCAGCCCAGCAGAGAGGACUGAAAUUACUUGGAAAUAAAUUUCUCCAUCAAAGUAUCCUUCCAACUGAGGCUUUGCACUGCCCUGCAAUAACAGCACAUGCACGGCCUGUCCCGCUUUGUUUCUUGCUGUAGUUUAUCUGUGGAUGGACAAUUGCUAUCUCUAGGCCUACAGAGUGAGCAUUGUUAGACAUAUUAAAAAUCUGAAAA
Aquila chrysaetos chrysaetos is the source of this 855-nucleotide long non-coding RNA. RefSeq lists it as uncharacterized. The record is from RefSeq and is a predicted model, not a curated record. The transcript is spliced from 3 exons. NCBI's taxonomy places the organism in Eukaryota, Metazoa, Chordata, Aves, Accipitriformes, Accipitridae.